This 211-nucleotide unclassified non-coding RNA is filed under the name Hevea brasiliensis (rubber tree). Lineage: Eukaryota; Viridiplantae; Streptophyta; Magnoliopsida; Malpighiales; Euphorbiaceae. The record is from RNAcentral.
AUGCUUGUCGUUUCACUGAAACAGAAAAGCUGAAACAAGAGAGAGUAUUAGGUAGGCCAGUGUUUCCUAAAGCAAUUGGCGAGCUUCAUGGCCACUCUGGUAUAGCAAGAUUGCUCCUUUUCUAUGCCAGAGGAUUAUGUGGGCUUGUUGAUCACACCAAAGGAACUGGAGUGGCUAACGCAGGGCUUGUCUACUUCAAUGACAGGCUUCU